Molecule: long non-coding RNA, 432 nt
Filed under: Amborella trichopoda
Lineage: Eukaryota; Viridiplantae; Streptophyta; Magnoliopsida; Amborellales; Amborellaceae
Description: long non-coding RNA (ATRI_LNC005442)
Source: RNAcentral
UCCUCUACAAAUAAAAUCCAUGAAGUGACAAGGAGCAACCAAUCAUGUGAAGCAAGCUCCCUUCUAAUAAAAAUGUGAGAUAUAGGACAAAUUGGGUUCUUAGUCAUCAUGGGCUAGGCCGCACUCAAGAAGAUAAAACAGAUUGAAUGAUACUUUUUAUGUAUUAUACGAAGAGACUACGCUAGGAAAAAUUAACAGUGUUUUUGUUUAUAGGCUUGACGUGGUCCAAUUUUUUCAUGAACGUGUAGAUUAAAAGACCGCAACGUAUGGUCAAUUUUCACGUAAAAAACAUGGGAUUCCGCCAUGGAUUUAGCAUGUCCGUUACCGUUGUUUAGGCAAAUCGCAACGGACACGCUAUGUUCGUUGCGAGGUGAAAUACUAUUCAAUUUUUCCUAUAGGCAUUUUUAAGACUUAUAUAUAGGGUUGUGUUAG